This 465-nucleotide ribosomal RNA is filed under the name uncultured bacterium. RNAcentral describes it as "partial 16S ribosomal RNA". It matches the Rfam family "Bacterial small subunit ribosomal RNA", at positions 338 to 795 of the family's 1533-position model. The record is from RNAcentral.
CCUACGGGAGGCAGCAGUGGGGAAUAUUGCGCAAUGGGCGAAAGUCUGACGCAGCGACGCCGCGUGAGGGAUGAAGGUCUUCGGAUCGUAAACCUCUGUCAGCAGGGAAGAACGGUCACUGUGCUAAUCAGCAGUGAAUUGACGGUACCUGCAAAGGAAGCACCGGCUAACUCCGUGCCAGCAGCCGCGGUAAUGCGGAGGGUGCGAGCGUUAAUCGGAAUUACUGGGCGUAAAGCGCUCGUAGGCGGUAUGUCAAGUCAAGGGUGAAAUCCCCGCGCUCAACGUGGGAACUGCCUUUGAUACUGGCAAGCUGGAGUGUGGUAGAGGGUAGUAGAAUUCCAGGUGUAGGAGUGAAAUGCGUAGAUAUCUGGAGGAACAUCAGUGGCGAAGGCGACUAUCUGGCACAUAACUGACGCUGAGGAGCGAAAGCGUGGGUAGCAAACAGGAUUAGAUACCCGGGUAGUC